CUAAAUUAAAUAAUUUUUUGCGAUUUUUUAAAAAAAAAAAAAAUUUACAUUAAAAAAAUAGCGCCAUGUUAUAAAAUCCCCUCCCCUCCCGAAAUUCCCAUCUUCCCCCCUAAAAUCCCUAAUUUCCCCCCUUAAACCCCAACUUUACAAACAUACCGUCCUUUAAAACUUUUAACUCCAUGCCCAUUGCUAUCUUUUCUUCCUCUAUCUUUUCUUCCUCAACCCCAAUUCUUAAACGCCCAAAUUUGGAAAGCUAUUUUUUCUUUCUCUGCAGAACUUUUCUGGUACACAUUUUCGCAGGACGGGCAUAAUUUGGAAGACUCAAAGCAAAGCACUACUGAUAUGUCUGUUUCCGUGCAAAAUCUUCUUCAACAAAUGCAAUCUAGGUUUCAAACAAUGUCGGAGUCCAUCAUCAUAAAGAAUAUCCUUUUUGUAUGAAGAUCCUCAUCAUGGUGAGGCGAAAAGCACAAAUGAGAUGCAUAGAGAACGAUACG
This is a long non-coding RNA of Gossypium raimondii (Peruvian cotton), 494 nucleotides long. RefSeq lists it as uncharacterized. The transcript is spliced from 4 exons. The record is from RefSeq and is a predicted model, not a curated record. Lineage: Eukaryota; Viridiplantae; Streptophyta; Magnoliopsida; Malvales; Malvaceae.